CUAGCCAUUUGUUUCUUCUGCCGCCAAAACAUUUGACACUGUUCUUCUAAUUCCUUCAUCUUCUAAUAGCUAGAAGCGUCAUUUCUAUUUCAACUUUUGUUGGUGUUUUCACAUGCUUUGGAGGUUUCACACCCAGUCUAGGAUUAGUCUUUUGUUUCGUCAUCAAUACAAAACCAAAAUAGAAACAAAAAAAAAGUUGGUGUUCCCCGUGUCGAUUAUUGUUCUUCCGCGUAUAAAAAGUAGUCUUUGUUCCUAGUGAUUAACACAAAAAAACGAAAAACAAAUAUGUGCAUCUUCCACCUUUAACCCCUUUUUCUAGUCAUCCCAAGAGAAGAAAAUAAAUCCAUUUGUUGUUUCCCAGUUCAUUGUUGUCCUUUCACAUAUACAAAAUAUUCUUUGUUUCUAGUGAUCAAUACAAAAAUAAAUUGAUUGCAUGCUCCACUUCACCAUUGCUGUUCCACAUUUAAAAUAUUCUUUGUUUCUACAAUCCCGUUUCCUAGUGAUAAACAUUGAAAAAAUAAUAUCAUUUGUGUUUCCCUUUACCAUUGUUUUUUCAGAUCUGCAACUACUCCUUUUAUACAGCUCUAGCUUUCGAUUGAUAAAAAAAUACGAGAAAAAGUCAUUGGCUUCCCAUCAUUGCGAUUGUGUUAUUCUCUUAUCCAGACUUUGUUCUCUUUUCUCUGGAUAAAUACUGAAAAAACCAAACAAACGAAAAAAAAUCAUUGGUUUCACCCCUUUGUUGUUUUUCCACAUUUAUCAUUGCUCCACCAGAAACACCAAAAGAUUGUUGGCUUGCCCACUACUAAGAUAUUUCAAAUAAAUCUGGUUGAUCAGACCAUUUCUUGACAUCCAUAUUAUGGUGCCUAAUUCAACCACCAGGACCAUACAAGGAAGCUAGCCUACAACUUUUAAGCAGAAACAUGGAAAAUUAAUAUUUGUACUAUACAAAGUUAUUCCCAGUUUAGGUUUCUUAGCUACUAAGAGGUACCAAUUCCAACAAACAUAUCAAAAGGAUCGCUGACUUUUCCCACUAUUGAGAGUUUUUCAAGUAAAUCAAGUUGAUCAGAUCGAUCAUCUCUUGACAUUCAUACUAUGGACAUACAUCGCCACAUUCUACCAACAGUUUAAGUGCAAGGAAAUUAGGUGCAGCUGUCAAGACAAGUAAAAGAGAAUUAAUAUUUAUUUGGCAGCCUUCAGUUUAAGUGUUGCCAAAUAUUGAUUCUUGGUGAUCUAAGAUCCUGCAUGUGACAAGUUAUUCCCGGUCCAAAGCUUCUCAGAAGGCCAGCCCAAAGCUGAGAGGUCAAUUUGUGCAAACUAGCAAGUUUGGUACACUACUGAACAUAAGUCAUGGCAUCAUCUUCAUGGGAAAAAUGGCCCGAUGAUGUGCGUGAUAAAUGGCGUGAUGAUCUGAGAGAUAUGGAUUUUUGGUCACAGGCACUCAAAUAAAAUAGUUUCCGCAGACGAUAUUUGGAGAAAUGCUGAAGCUACAAUCACUCAAGCUCAUUGACAAUAAACAUUUGAUUUCACUCACAAAAACAUUGUGUAGGAUCCAGGGUAUCAAAUUGGAAGGGCAUCCUGGCCUUAUAUCCUUCGUGUUGAUCGGUGCACCUCGCAUAAGGCGCUUGUCUUUGCGUGGAUGUAGAAAACUAGUUUGUUGAGAUCAAGAAUCUUGGUGCUUUGGAGGAGCUAGACUUGUCUGGUACAGCUAUCAAGGAUGUCCCAGCAGACAUCCCUAAUAAUCCCCAUCUUUGGAGAUUACUCCUUCAGGGUGUUCCUUCCCUGAGGCGAUUUCCUUGCCAUAGGCUGGAGCGAGUCCCAGAUAUGUUUUACUUGGAUCAUUGUUCAAA
Long non-coding RNA from Triticum aestivum (bread wheat), 1847 nucleotides. RefSeq lists it as uncharacterized. The record is from RefSeq and is a predicted model, not a curated record. The transcript is spliced from 6 exons. Lineage: Eukaryota; Viridiplantae; Streptophyta; Magnoliopsida; Poales; Poaceae.